RNAcentral lists this small RNA (32 nucleotides) under Bombyx mori (domestic silkworm). RNAcentral's name for it is "ovarian small RNA-13975". Lineage: Eukaryota; Metazoa; Arthropoda; Insecta; Lepidoptera; Bombycidae. The record is from RNAcentral.
CCUCGAACAAGUAUCGGCCGAGAAUGGCCUGC